AUUGAACGCUGGCGGCAUGCUUUACACAUGCAAGUCGAACGGUAACAGGGUGCUUGCACCGCUGACGAGUGGCGAACGGGUGAGUAAUGCAUCGGAAUGUACCGUGUAAUGGGGGAUAGCUCGGCGAAAGCCGGAUUAAUACCGCAUACGCCCUGAGGGGGAAAGUGGGGGACCGAAAGGCCUCACGUUAUACGAGCAGCCGAUGUCUGAUUAGCUAGUUGGUGAGGUAAAGGCUCACCAAGGCGUCGAUCAGUAGCGGGUCUGAGAGGAUGAUCCGCCACACUGGGACUGAGACACGGCCCAGACUCCUACGGGAGGCAGCAGUGGGGAAUUUUGGACAAUGGGCGCAAGCCUGAUCCAGCCAUGCCGCGUGUCUGAAGAAGGCCUUCGGGUUGUAAAGGACUUUUGUCCGGGAGCAAAUCCUAGUGGUUAAUAACCGCUGGGUCUGAGAGUACCGGAAGAAUAAGCACCGGCUAACUACGU
RNAcentral lists this ribosomal RNA (483 nucleotides) under uncultured bacterium. RNAcentral's name for it is "partial 16S ribosomal RNA". It matches the Rfam family "Bacterial small subunit ribosomal RNA", at positions 30 to 506 of the family's 1533-position model. The record is from RNAcentral.